Molecule: long non-coding RNA, 524 nt
Filed under: Capra hircus (goat)
Lineage: Eukaryota; Metazoa; Chordata; Mammalia; Artiodactyla; Bovidae
Description: lncRNA (ENSCHIG00010029911.1)
Source: RNAcentral
GAGAGGAGCUUGGGAACGGUUGCUAGGGGUGGGUAAUGGGUAAAAAAAGGGGGGCGCCGGGGAGCGGAUAAGGAGGGUUAAGGGAGGGGGCGAGGGUGGGGAGCAAUGCAAAAGGUAAGGCCAGGUUACCGCGGCUCGGCCCCGAGUGGGCUGCGGCCGGGGGAGGGGCGAGAGAUACAUAUGUAUUUCUGUCUCCCUAGCACACCCCCUUCCCUCUAAGCGAUGGCUGAGAGGCGGUGCAUGCAGAUGGGGAGUAAGUUUCCUGAAGGGGAGGGUGGAUGCACGCGCGCGGCCCCGCGCUGCAAAUUUCCACCGGGGAGGGAGAGUGGCUGGAUGCGGAGAGUUUGGAGUUGCUUGCAGCGGAGGGCAGGAAGGGGAGCAGGGCCGGGAAAGGGGGCUGGCGGGCGCUAUAUCUGGGAGUAAGUUUCCAGGAACGGGAGAGCCUGCACGCUUGCUCGCUAGCCCUGGCUCUGGAGGAUGCUGAAGGAGGAAGACACAGAAGCAGGACGACUCUGAGAGAUUAA